This 451-nucleotide ribosomal RNA is filed under the name uncultured bacterium. RNAcentral's name for it is "bacterial SSU rRNA". It matches the Rfam family "Bacterial small subunit ribosomal RNA", at positions 354 to 796 of the family's 1533-position model. The record is from RNAcentral.
GUGGGGAGUUUUGCGCAAUGGGCGAAAGCCUGACGCAGCGACGCCGCGUGGGUGAUGAAGGUCUUCGGAUCGUAAAGCCCUGUCGGCAGGGACGAUGCGCUCACUGGCCAACAUCCAGUGGGCUCGACGGUACCUGCAAAGGAAGCACCGGCUAACUCUGUGCCAGCAGCCGCGGUAAGACAGAGGGUGCUAGCGUUGUUCGGAAUUAUUGGGCGUAAAGGGCGCGUAGGCGGCUUGGUAAGUCGGAUGUGAAAUCCCAGGGCUCAACCGUGGAAGUGCAUCCGAAACUGCCUUGCUUGAGUGUCGGAGAGGGUGGUGGAAUUCCCAGUGUAGAGGUGAAAUUCGUAGAUAUUGGGAGGAACAUCCGUGGCGAAGGCGACCACCUGGACGGCUACUGACGCUGAGGCGCGAAAGCGUGGGGAGCAAACAGGAUUAGAUACCCUGGUAGUCC